AGUGUAGCAUCUGUUCUGAAGGCGAAUGUUGUUUAGCCGAACGUUUUUUUCUUCGGGUUGCUAAUAGUUAUAUGAUCGCCCUAACAUUUUAUAAGUUGAAAACAAGAAUAUUUUAACAAUUGUACAACAGAAAAAUACAAGAGGUUUACAAAAAAGUUAAAAAUUAGACAUUUCACUGCAUGAUUCUUAUCUGAUAACGUGACAACGCAGACUACAUUAGGAGUAUAAAAACAUUACAAUGAAUUGUAAUUAUAUUUAUCCGUCGUGAUCAACAUA
Non-coding RNA from Cinara cedri, 276 nucleotides. The record is from the annotation of a GenBank genome assembly. NCBI's taxonomy places the organism in Eukaryota, Metazoa, Arthropoda, Insecta, Hemiptera, Aphididae.